GAGACAAGCAUAUGACUACUGGCAGGAUCAACCAGGUAGCAUUCCUUUGAGACGUUGACACCCGCAUGAACCCCGCCAAGCUGAGGCUGCGAGCUCAAAAACGAGCGCAACAGUCGUUCGGGUCGUUGGACGAAAUGCAUUACUUUGUUAGAUGGAGGCCUCCUAGAGACCACCCACCAGCAACACAUAACAUUCUACAUCCGAGAGCACGGGCAAAGAAUCUCAUGGGCCAAGGCCACCACACAACUAAGCGAGGCAUGCCGGGAACACAAGCCUUGCCUAAUGUCCACCCCACCACCCGUGAGGGCAUGGGGCGGAGAGAAAGAAACAAACCAUCGAAUUCCUUCCAAUAGGUAAGCAACACAGGAUACCGAA
RNAcentral lists this unclassified non-coding RNA (375 nucleotides) under Santiria griffithii. RNAcentral's name for it is "partial external transcribed spacer". The record is from RNAcentral. Lineage: Eukaryota; Viridiplantae; Streptophyta; Magnoliopsida; Sapindales; Burseraceae.